AUUCAAGGAAAAUAUUUCGGUGCCCUCAGAGUGAGGGGUAAAAGGGAAGGCGGUGAAAAUCCGCCACAGCCCCGCUGCUGUAAGCGGCUACCCUCCGGCGCAAGACCACUCGCUUUGGUGAAACAAGGCGGGGAAGGAGCCGGAAGGAGGUUUGAAGCCGUAAAGUCAGAAAACCUGCCGGAAGACAACCGUAAUGU
Molecule: non-coding RNA, 197 nt
Filed under: Candidatus Zixiibacteriota bacterium
Lineage: Bacteria; Pseudomonadati; Candidatus Zixiibacteriota
Source: RNAcentral